AUGAUAAGUGUAAAAGCUGGAAGUUACCCGAGCAAUUUUAGUUCUCUGGCAUUUGUUAAAGUUAACAGAGCUACCCGCAACUUCAUGCUAACUCAAGGAAAAUUAGCCGUUGUAUUAGCCAUUGGCUCUUCAACUUUUAUUGCUAUGGUUGUUGUUGCAGUGCUUGUAGUUUUACGAAGAAACAUGGCAGAACCAUUAGAAGAUGAUGACAUUAUCGAUCAGUUACCAGGGCUACCUGCAAGAUUUUCUUUUAUGGAGUUGAAGUCAGCAACUGAAGAUUUCUCAAAAGUGAUUGGGAAAGGAGGAUCUGGUUCUGUUUUUGAAGGACAGAUUUGUGAUAAGCAGGUUGCUGUGAAAAGAUUGGAUGGCAUUAAUCAAGGGAAAAGGGAAUUUUUAGCAGAGGUUCAGACUAUUGGAAGCAUCAACCACAUAUAUUUGGUGAGGCUAAUUGGAUUUUGUGCUGAAAAGUCGCAUAGGCUUCUUGUCUAUGAAUACAUGCCAAAUGGAUCUUUGGAUAGGUGGAUUUUCCAAAGGCACCAAGAAGCACCACUUGAUUGGAAAACCAGAUUGAGGAUCAUCACUGAUGUAGCAAGGGGAUUAGCUUAUCUUCACAGUGACUGCCGGGAAACAAUCGUUCAUCUAGACAUCAAGCCACAAAAUAUCCUUUUGGAUGAGCAAUUCACUGCCAAGGUAUCUGACUUCGGUCUUGCCAAGCUAAUUGAUCGCGAGCAGGGCAGUGUCAUGACUAGAUUGAGAGGCACACCAGGUUACUUGGCUCCUGAGUGGUUGACAUCUGUGAUCAACGAAAAGGUUGAUGUGUAUAGCUUUGGCAUUGUUAUCAUGGAAAUUAUUUGCGGUAGAAGUAAUUUGGAUUAUUCACAGCCUGAAGAAAGCCGUCAUCUCAUCAGCAUGCUGCAGGACAAGGCCAAAACUGACAAGCUGUUGGACCUUAUCAAUCCGCGCUUCACUGAUAUGCAAUGUCAUUUGGAUGAAGUGUCGCGCAUGAUGAAUCUGGCAAUGUGGUGCCUGCAGGUUGACAGCCGUCGGCGGCCUUCCAUGACCGAAGCCGUCAAAUUCCUGGAUGGUGCAAUGGAUGUCGAAACCGAACUUGAUUUGGACCUGGUAAAUCUGGAACUAAUGGUGGCAAAUAGAGCGGUCCGUGGGAACUUUGCCGCAACUCUGCAGAUAGACUCCGUCCUUUCAGGACCAAGGUGA
Molecule: ribosomal RNA, 1215 nt
Filed under: Triticum aestivum (bread wheat)
Lineage: Eukaryota; Viridiplantae; Streptophyta; Magnoliopsida; Poales; Poaceae
Description: partial small subunit ribosomal RNA
Source: RNAcentral